This is a long non-coding RNA of Peromyscus californicus insignis, 1780 nucleotides long. RefSeq lists it as uncharacterized. The transcript has 2 exons. NCBI's taxonomy places the organism in Eukaryota, Metazoa, Chordata, Mammalia, Rodentia, Cricetidae. The record is from RefSeq and is a predicted model, not a curated record.
CGCCACAGCACUUAAACUGAGGAGGAAAACACAAAGAAAGAUCCGCAGUCAUUGCCAAGGCCAGGGUCAGAGGCAGGAAGCUCCGGCUAAGAGGAUGCUGAUGAGGCCAGAGCUGUCAAGAAGUGGCAUGGCCAUCCAAAAGGGGGUAAGCUCUCCACCCAGAAGAGACAUGCAAGGCAAGGCUGGACUCCUUCAACUGGACACGAGGUAGUGACUAGACACUAAAAGGAAGUCUGUCCCUGGCAACUGGUCUGUAUCUUCUCCUUCAUCAUCAAGCCCCCGGGGGUAGGGGUCUAGCUGGAGAAGCAGCCUCAGAGGCCAGCCAGGGGAAGCUCUGCUCCAUCCUGACCUUGGAAACCUGAAUAAACUACCCUAGGCUCUCCCCUUAGCCUCCCCCUCCCACCUCUCCCUUCUGUGCCAGGGCCAGCUUGGGGGUGGGGGUGGUGGCAGAGAACAGUUGUACAGAGGGACUAGCUGGAUGGCUUCCUCCUGGGCUCUGCACAGACAGACCUAUUGGCCAAAUGAUGAGAGCCACAGCCAAGCAUGCGGGCAUGCCUGGAAUCCCAGCAGGAGGAAUGGUACAAGUUUGAAGCCAACCUGGGCUACAUAGUGAGUUCUAGGACAGCCUCGGCUACAGUAUAAGACCCUCAAAAACAAAAACAAACACAAACAAACAAAAAGAACUAUACCAAAACCACCUAGAGGAGAGGGUGACCAGUAAGGGAUGCUGUAUACCUGGGCACAGGGAAGUGGGGGGAGGGGUGGCUUUAUGUUGGGAGGACAGGAAAGGCUGCUCAAAGGAGAGGACAUUUCAUCUGAAACAUGAACAAGGGAAAGACAGUGAACAUGUAUGUGCAAAGGCCCUGUGCAGAAGCGAGGCUGUUCUUCAGCAGCAGGUGGAAACGCCAGUGAGCAGAGGGAAUGAGGUUCAGGGAACAGAAGCCAAAUGUGAAGAGACCCACCAGGCAGAGCAAACAGGGGUCUGGGACUGUGUUCCAGGAGUGGGGAGCUGAAGGACCAUGUCGGGGUCUGGACUGUGUUCCAGGAGUGGGGAGCUGAAGGACCAUGUCGGGGUCUGGACUGUGUUCCAGGAGUGGGGAGCUGAAGGACCGUGUGGUAGGAGCACAGGUAGACACCACUGGGCCCCCUUCUGAAGUCUCCACAGUGCCCUGUCAGCCACCAGGACUUCCUUGGGAUCCACAAAUGCCUAUGUGCAAUGUUGUAUAGGGGACAUUUAUUCUGCUGCUGGACAGAUACACAUUCAAAUCCUCACAUCACCACUCCAGAAGAGUGACCAUAGGCAAGGUGCUCAGCCUCUCUGGGCCUCAGAAGCUUGUCUGCUAAAAAGAGCAAUGCCAGCUCUGUAUGGCUGAACCGGACUGUAAGAGAGUCUCCGCAGGGAGCAUUCUGCACCAGGCCCAGUGAGCAUUAGUCACCUCCUACCCCCACCUAAGGAGAAAUUAAAUCUCCGAGCCAGCUAAAGGCUGGUUCCAACAAAAGCAUCUACCAGGCUCUCCCAGUCUGGGCUGGCAGGAAACACUCUCCCAGAAGCUGCACCUGUUUCUCCUACAGAGGAGCACAGAGCCAAAGGCCUGGGGUGUGGUGAGGCUGGGCCUCCGCUGAAGACUCACACAAGGGACCAGGAACACUCAACUGCCAGGUGUGGGGGGCCUGUGACCCUCCAAUAUCACUGUCCCCUGCUGUGGGAUGGCCUUUCUGUAUGCUGUGAAUAUGUGUUGCUACCAUUGGUUAAUAAAGAAGUUGCUUUGGCCUAUGGUAA